AUCUCCCUCCGGAGUGGGUCAGGCACUGCUGGCCUGAGGACCACCUCCCCAGGAGUGGCACCACCCACAGUGAGUUGGACAACUUCCCCCAAUAUCAAUCAUCAGUCAAGAAGAUGUUGUACAGAUGUACAGACAUGCCUUCAGGACAGUCUUACGGAUACAGUUUCCUCUUCCCAGAUAUGUUUAGAUUUGUGUCAAGUUGACAAAAGCCAACCAGAGCAGUCCCUGGGAACAUUGGGGAAAAUACAGAAGAGAGCUUGCAGCUGGGGUCUAAGACAGCCAAACAAACCACAUGAGAGGAGAGGCAGGGCUCUAGGAAAACCAACCAAGCCAGUCUUGGCCAGAACCCACAAUCCCACAGAUUCCUCUUUGGGGAAUGUCCUGGCCAGUUUUAUGUCAACUUGACACAAGCUAGAGCCACCAGAGAGGAGGGAGCUUCAGUUAAGAAAAUGCCUCUGUAAGAUAACACUAUGAGCAAGACUGUAGGGUAUUUUCUUAAUUAAUAUUGGUGGGGGAGGGCCCAUCCCAUUAUGGGUGAUGCUAUCUCUGGACUGGUGGUCCUGGGUUCUAUAAGAAAGCAGGCUGACAAACCCACAGGGAGCAGCACCCUCCAUGGCCGUCUGCAUCAGCUCCCAUCCCCAGGUUCCUGCCUGGCUUGAGUUACUCUCCUGACUCCCUUUGAUGAUAAUCCGUGAUGCU
This 699-nucleotide long non-coding RNA is filed under the name Mus spretus (western wild mouse). RNAcentral describes it as "predicted gene 43685 (ENSMSPG00010013143.1)". Lineage: Eukaryota; Metazoa; Chordata; Mammalia; Rodentia; Muridae. The record is from RNAcentral.